GGGAGAGCGAAUGAGGAGGCAGACAGUUCUGCAUCAGUGGAUCUGGAGGGUGGACUGUACUAUACCAUUUCAGAACCUUCAAAAUGCUGUAGUGGGGCUUCCCUGGUGGCGCAGUGGUUAAGAAUCCGCCUGCCAAUGCAGGGGACACGGGUGCGAGCCGUGGCCUGGGAAGAUCCCACAUGCUGCGUAGCAACUAAGCCCCUGCGCCACAACUACUGAGCCUGCGCUCUAGAGCCCGCGAGCCACAACUACUGAGCCCACGUGCCACAACUACUGAAACCCGCGUGCCUAGAGACCGUGCUCCGCAACAAGAGAAGCCAUGACAAUGAGAAGCCCGUGCACUGCAACGAAGAGUAGACCCCACUCACCGCAACUAGAGAAAGCCCGCGCGCAGCAGUGAAGACCCAACAC
Molecule: long non-coding RNA, 411 nt
Organism: Physeter macrocephalus (sperm whale)
Lineage: Eukaryota; Metazoa; Chordata; Mammalia; Artiodactyla; Physeteridae
Exons: 3
Source: RefSeq, a predicted model, not a curated record